Molecule: long non-coding RNA, 291 nt
Filed under: Phasianus colchicus (ring-necked pheasant)
Lineage: Eukaryota; Metazoa; Chordata; Aves; Galliformes; Phasianidae
Description: lncRNA (ENSPCLG00000005374.1)
Source: RNAcentral
GAGAACCUGUGGGAGGAAUGAAAGUUAGAUUCUGCUGAGUUGUUCCUGUCAGAGGCAUUUUGUGAUGCAGCAUUAUACCUGGGUGAAAGAGAAAAAAAACAACAAUCUGCCUCAACUGUUUUUAUUUCCAAGUUGUCUGAUGUAUCAUCAAAUACAGUUUUUUCUUAUGUCACCUUAACACCGUGGGACUACAAAGCAACAGCAAGGUGAAGGCACGACACUUGUACCAUGCUGGUGAGCAAACAUGUCUCCUUCCUGAACCUGGCUCUGUAAGCAGGGGGAGGAAAUACC